UGAGGUUGCAAAGCUACAAUA
Molecule: non-coding RNA, 21 nt
Filed under: Arabidopsis thaliana (thale cress)
Lineage: Eukaryota; Viridiplantae; Streptophyta; Magnoliopsida; Brassicales; Brassicaceae
Source: RNAcentral